This 477-nucleotide ribosomal RNA is filed under the name uncultured anaerobic ammonium-oxidizing bacterium. RNAcentral describes it as "bacterial SSU rRNA". It matches the Rfam family "Bacterial small subunit ribosomal RNA", at positions 365 to 832 of the family's 1533-position model. The record is from RNAcentral.
UUCGCAAUGCCCGAAAGGGUGACGAAGCGACGCCGCGUGGGUGAAGAAGGCCUUCGGGUUGUAAAGCCCUGUCAGGAGUUAUGAAAUGUAAGCGCGCUAAUAUCGCGCUUAUUUGACAAAGGCUCCAAAGGAAGCCACGGCUAACUCUGUGCCAGCAGCCGCGGUAAUACAGAGGUGGCGAGCGUUGUUCGGAAUUAUUGGGCGUAAAGAGCACGUAGGUGGGUUUGCAAGUCAGAUGUGAAAGCCUUCUGUUCAACGGAAGAAUUGCAUCUGAAACUGCUAAUCUUGAGUAUAGGAGGGGAGAAUGGAACUUCUGGUGGAGCGGUGAAAUGCGUAGAUAUCAGAAGGAACGCCGGCGGCGAAAGCGAUUCUCUGGCCUAUUACUGACACUCAGUGUGCGAAAGCUAGGGGAGCAAACGGGAUUAGAUACCCCGGUAGUCCUAGCCGUAAACGAUGGGCACUAAGUAGAGGGGUUUU